ACCCCCGUGGGGGAGGGGGGGGGUCACUGGGAGUCUUUAUUUCUGCUAUUAUAGUGUGAAAAGACGCGGGGGGGGACAAAAGGGAUUUAAAAUCCCCCUGUAAUUCCCCCCCGUUAAUGGAUGAAUAUAAGGGUGGUGGGGGGAUUCUUUGAGUUUUGGGGGGGGGAGGUGGAAAGCUAUUUAUUUUAUCCCCUCGUGGGGGUUAGUGUCGCCCAGGAUAAAAAUUUCAAUGGAGAUGGGGGGGGCCCGCCCCCCACCGGGGGGCAUGUGGUUUUAUUUGGUGGCCAAGGGGAAGGCCUUUCCCGGGGGUGGCAUUUCCGGGGGAUUUCUGGAGUAGGAUUUUUUCCUUUGGGGGAAUGGAAACCAGGUGGCCCAUGCCUGUCCUCAUUUUGUGUUGAGUGUUUUGGGUUAAAUUCCAGAAAAGAGCCAACCCUUUCCUUUUUUCCACGCCCAUUAGGGUGGGCACUUUAAGGAACCCCCCGGUGACAACCCGGAGGAAGGUGGGGAUGAGUUCAAUUCUUCUCCCCCUUACGCCUGGGGCUCCCCAACGGGAACCAAUGGAUGGUACGGAGGGGGGCCUCCCCCAGGGGGAGUUACUUCCAAAAACCCGAUUCUGUUCCGGUUGCCGGUUUCAACUUGGAAAGCGUGAACUGGGAUCCGUUUUUAUUCCCGGAUCGCCAUGCUGCGGUGAAUACGUUCCCGGGCUUUUACACACCGCCCGUCAUACCAAGGGAGCGGCCUAUGCCAGAAGCAGNUACCUNACCUCNUUNNGUUUUCUUAUUGUGUACCG
This 790-nucleotide ribosomal RNA is filed under the name Pseudomonas putida. Its description in RNAcentral is "partial 16S ribosomal RNA". It matches the Rfam family "Bacterial small subunit ribosomal RNA", at positions 600 to 1471 of the family's 1533-position model. The record is from RNAcentral. Lineage: Bacteria; Pseudomonadati; Pseudomonadota; Gammaproteobacteria; Pseudomonadales; Pseudomonadaceae.